UUAGAUACCCUGGUAGUNCACNCCGUNAACGAUNCAUANUAGGUNUUGGGGAUUNGAUUUNUUGGUGCCGAAGUUAACACAGUAAGUAUGCCGCCUGGGGAGUACGCUNGCAAGAGUGAAACUNAAAGGAAUUGACGGGGACCCGCACAAGCAGUGGAGUAUGUGGUUUAAUUUGAAGCAACGCGAAGAACCUUACCAGGUUUUGACAUCCCUAUGUANNCCCUAGAGAUAGGNGCCNNCUUNGGNNCANNGGAGACAGGUGGUGCAUGGUUGUUGUCAGCUNGUGUNGUGAGAUNUUGGGUUAAGUNCCGCAACGAGCGCNACCCUUGAUUUUANUUGCCANCAUGUUAUGGUGGGCACUCUAAGAUGACUGCCGGUGACAAACCGGAGGAAGGUGGGGAUGACGUCAAAUCAUCAUGCCCCUUAUGACCUGGGCUACACACGUACUACAAUGGUCGGUACAACGGGAAGCGAAGCCGCGAGGUGGAGCCAAUCCUUAAAAGCCGAUCUCAGUUCGGAUUGCAGGCUGCAACUCGCCUGCAUGAAGUCGGAAUUGCUAGUAAUCGCGGAUCAGCAUGCCGCGGUGAAUACGUUCCCGGGUNUUGUACACACCGCCCGUCACACCACGAGAGUUUACAACACCCGAAGUCGGUGGGNUAACCCGNCAAGGGAGCCAGCCGCCGAAGUGGGUAGUG
RNAcentral lists this ribosomal RNA (695 nucleotides) under Paenibacillus sp. sh_21. RNAcentral describes it as "partial 16S ribosomal RNA". It matches the Rfam family "Bacterial small subunit ribosomal RNA", at positions 778 to 1469 of the family's 1533-position model. Lineage: Bacteria; Bacillati; Bacillota; Bacilli; Caryophanales; Paenibacillaceae. The record is from RNAcentral.